ACUGGUGCGCGAGAUGAGUAUUCUAAGGCGCUUGAGAGAACUCAGGAGAAGGAACUCGGCAAAUUGACACCGUAACUUCGGAAGAAGGUGUGCCUUUAGUAGGUGAAGGGAUUUACUCCUGGAGCCCAAUGAGGUUGCAAAAAAUCGGUGGCUGCGACUGUUUAUUAAAAACACAGCACUCUGCAAACACGAAAGUGGACGUAUAGGGUGUGACGCCUGCCCGGUGCUGGAAGAUUAAAUGAUGGGGUGCAAGCUCUUGAUUGAAGUCCCAGUAAACGGCGGCCGUAACAAUAACGGUCCUAAGGUAGCGAAAUUCCUUGUCGGGUAAGUUCCGACCUGCACGAAUGGCGUAACGAUGGCCACACUGUCUCCUCCUGAGACUCAGCGAAGUUGAAAUGUUUGUGAUGAUGCAAUCUCCCCGCGGAAAGACGGAAAGACCCCAUGAACCUUUACUGUAGCUUUGUAUUGGACUUUGAACAGAUCUGUGUAGGAUAGGUGGGAGGCUUUGAAGCAGGGUCGCUAGAUCUUGUGGAGCCAACGUUGAAAUACCACCCUGGUGUGUUUGAGGUUCUAACCUAGGCCCGUAAUCCGGGUUGGGGACAGUGCAUGGUAGGCAGUUUGACUGGGGCGGUCUCCUCCCAAAGUGUAACGGAGGAGUUCGAAGGUACGCUAGUUACGGUCGGACAUCGUGACGAUAGUGCAAUGGCAUAAGCGUGCUUAACUGCGAGACUGACAAGUCGAGCAGAUGCGAAAGCAGGACAUAGUGAUCCGGUGGUUCUGUAUGGAAGGGCCAUCGCUCAACGGAUAAAAGGUACUCUGGGGAUAACAGGCUGAUACCGCCCAAGAGUUCAUAUCGACGGCGGUGUUUGGCACCUCGAUGUCGGCUCAUCUCAUCCUGGGGCUGUAGCCGGUCCCAAGGGUAUGGCUGUUCGCCAUUUAAAGAGGUACGUGAGCUGGGUUUAAAACGUCGUGAGACAGUUUGGUCCCUAUCUUCCGUGGGCGCUGCAGAUUUGAGGAAGCCUGCUCCUAGUACGAGAGGACCGGAGUGGACGCACCUCUGGUGUAUCGGUUGUCACGCCAGUGGCAUUGCCGAGUAGCUAUGUGCGGAAGAGAUAACCGCUGAAAGCAUCUAAGCGGGAAACUCGUUUCAAGAUGAGAUCUGCCGGGGCCUUGAGCCCCCUGAAGAGUCGUUCAAGACCAGGACGUUGAUAGGUCGGGUGUGGAAGCGCAGUAAUGCGUUAAGCUAACCGAUACUAAUUGCUCGUGCGGCUUGACCA
RNAcentral lists this ribosomal RNA (1277 nucleotides) under metagenome. Its description in RNAcentral is "bacterial LSU rRNA". It matches the Rfam family "Bacterial large subunit ribosomal RNA", at positions 1659 to 2925 of the family's 2925-position model. The record is from RNAcentral.